This is a non-coding RNA of Armillaria fumosa, 80 nucleotides long. NCBI's taxonomy places the organism in Eukaryota, Fungi, Basidiomycota, Agaricomycetes, Agaricales, Physalacriaceae. The record is from the annotation of a GenBank genome assembly.
UCCCUCUUAGCUCAGCUGGUAGAGCGCGUCACUAGUAGUCAGCUAUGACGAGGUCAGUCGUUCAAGUCGGCUAGAGGGAA